RNAcentral lists this small RNA (356 nucleotides) under Lachnospiraceae bacterium. RNAcentral describes it as "transfer-messenger RNA". It matches the Rfam family "transfer-messenger RNA". From Rfam's summary of the family: Bacterial tmRNA, also known as 10Sa RNA or SsrA, is named for its dual tRNA and mRNA-like properties. Its role is to liberate the mRNA from a stalled ribosome. Lineage: Bacteria; Bacillati; Bacillota; Clostridia; Lachnospirales; Lachnospiraceae. The record is from RNAcentral.
GGGGCAGUUAAGGUUUCGACAGGGGUUUUGAAGUCGGAGAAGCUAUCCGCAGGCGAUGCGUCAAAUCGCAAAAUUAAAAUUAAACGCUGAAGAUAAUUUAGCAAUCGCUGCCUAACGGCAGCCGUCAGACCUAGCGUACCUAUCCGUUAGGAUUCUGGCGUCGACGAGAUAGGAAACGGCGUCGUCAAAGCUUUGAGACGGCGUGGCGUGAGGGAGCGAAAGCUCUCAUGAAGCUACCGAAGCCGGAAGGGCGUCAGCCCCCGUCCGGCAAAGGGAAACAAAAUAGGCUGACUAUGAUAGUAGAAGUACGGUGGAUCUGCCUUUGGACACGGGUUCGACUCCCGUCUGCUCCACUA